AGUGAACGCUGGCGGUAGGCCUAACACAUGCAAGUCGAACGGCAGCACAGUAAGAGCUUGCUCUUACGGGUGGCGAGUGGCGGACGGGUGAGGAAUACAUCGGAAUCUACUUUUUCGUGGGGGAUAACGUAGGGAAACUUACGCUAAUACCGCAUACGACCUACGGGUGAAAGCAGGGGAUCUUCGGACCUUGCGCGAUUGAAUGAGCCGAUGUCGGAUUAGCUAGUUGGCGGGGUAAAGGCCCACCAAGGCGACGAUCCGUAGCUGGUCUGAGAGGAUGAGCAGCCACACUGGAACUAGGACACGGUCCAGACUCCUACGGGAGGCAGCAGUGGGGAAUAUUGGACAAUGGGCGCAAGCCUGAUCCAGCCAUACCGCGUGGGUGAAGAAGGCCUUCUGGUUGUAAAGCCCUUUUGUUGGGAAAGAAAAGCAGCAGGUUAAUACCCCGCUGUUCUGACGGUACCCAAAGAAUAAGCACCGGCUAACUUCGUG
RNAcentral lists this ribosomal RNA (492 nucleotides) under uncultured bacterium. RNAcentral's name for it is "partial 16S ribosomal RNA". It matches the Rfam family "Bacterial small subunit ribosomal RNA", at positions 29 to 507 of the family's 1533-position model. The record is from RNAcentral.